Molecule: RNA transcript, 2423 nt
Organism: Coffea arabica (coffee)
Lineage: Eukaryota; Viridiplantae; Streptophyta; Magnoliopsida; Gentianales; Rubiaceae
Source: RefSeq, a predicted model, not a curated record
AUUGGUCCCCUCUCCUUUUUCCCUUUGAUAAUUAUUCUCUUAAAUAAUAUUCCCUAUCUUUAGAACAGCUUAUAUGGAUUUGAGUUGCAAAUUCCCUUUUCAAUCAUCAUCUUCAUCUUCAUCCUGGGCUGUAAUCGUCUACUCACCGUGGCUGAAAUACCGGAUUUUUCCACCGCCGUCCGAUCAUUUGACUCCUCGGAUACCGGAUUUUCGACGUAUUACUGAAAUACCUUAGUAGUAAUUGCGUUUUAAUUUCGCCAAGCCAAGCCAAGCAUAUUUAACAGGACCUCUGAACACAAAGAUGUCACAGAGGAGAGGUAAAACGUCUAGUUGGACUGUAUUUGACCUGACUACUUCUGCAAGUGUACAACCUCUGGACACAAAAAUGUCGCGGAGGAGAGGUAAAACGUCUGGUUGUACUGCAUUUGACCUUGAACAUCGUCGUAAGCAGCGUCCUGAACCUGAAGCAAAGGAAUUUUUUCCAGCAAUAUCAAGCUCAAUGGAGCAAAGUCAGAAAGCCUUGACAAACAUAGCAGAUAUAACUGCAUCGGAGAAGCAUUUUGCGUCUCUACUACAGGAUGCUGUCAAAUUUCAGAUCAAGCCGAAACGCAGCGAUAUGCAUGAAAAGAAAUUGCAGGGUGGUUGCUCUAGUGGUGUCAAAGAUGCUUUGAAGGCAAAUGGAAUGCUUAAGGAGCUCCAUCCUUGGGCAGACCAAUACCUGAUUGAGGAUGUUUUGGCUGGUGUAGACUAUGAUGUUGAUAAGGCCUCAUCCUUAUUGAAAAUGAUGGUUUCCUCUGAGCAAAGAUACAAUAAUAUUAAAAUUACUGGGACUGAUGAAUUAAAGUUCAAUCGUAAGAAGUCUCUUGUGAAUGAAAAUAAGUCAUUAGCUGAAAAGGACACAGAUCUUUCUCAAGUGAUGCGUCUUCUUGAGGGUCUUGUGCUUAGCAAUAAUCGAGAUUUGACAGAUGAACGUGCUUCUUCGAGGAGAAUGCUUCUGCAUGAUGUCUUUGCUACAAAAAUGAUUCUGAAUUCUAUCAAAUCUUUACCCAUUGAGCGGGAAGAAGAUGAUGUUUACUUGGCUCAAAGAAAAGAGGCACAAAAGAUGACGAGUUCAGCAUCUCGGAACUCUAAGGCUUCCGUGGAUGCCUAUCUGAGAGGGGAUCACUUAUCUGCCCAACUCUAUUCGCGGAAAGCUCGUGAAGAAUGGCUGACUGCUAAACAACUAAAUGCCAAGGCAGCAAAAGAAAUUCUGAGAAUCAAGAAUUUGAAGAAUGAUGAGUGGACAUUAGAUUUGCAUGGUCUUCAUGCUGCAGAAGCAGUCCAAGCCUUGCAAGAACAUUUGCAGAGGAUUGAAUCUCAGAUGCCUACAAAACAGCUUGCUUGUGCUAGAAGAUUCAAUGCAAUUCAAUCUCAGAUGCCUUGUGCUAGAAUAGUCCAUCUAUCUCAGAUGCCUAUUGCUUGUGCUAGAAUAGUCCAUUUAUCUCAGAUGCCUGCUAGAAGAUUCAAUGUAAUGGCAGGAAUUGUAUCUUCCACAGCUCCUAAUGUUGCAAUUUUUAGGGAUUUGGAAGAGUGUGAUAGCCAGAUUCCAUUGUUUAGGCCAAGACCAGCAUCUGUAGAAGUAAUAACAGGAAAAGGCAAGCAUAGUCGGGGUGAAGCCACACUUCCUCCAGCCAUUAGGAGCUUUCUCAAUGAAAAUAGAUAUCACUAUAGUGAAACACGACCUGGGGUGAUUGAAGUACAAAUCAAAUUCCGGUGAUGAUGAGCUCUGUGCAUUACACUAUCUUGCAAUGAGGGAGUUCUCCUUAUUUGAUAUGUAUCAUAGAUUGGUCUUUGGUAUUUUGCGUUCAGAUUGAUGUCAAUGAAGUUUUACAAGGAGAAGUAGACAGCCUGUUUCUUCUUCAUAUUGCAUUUCUGUUGUUUGCAUGCCAGUGUGGCUAUGUAGCUACUUAAGACUUAAGUACCUCGCCAGAAUGGUGGCCACAUGUAGUAUAUGCUUGUGGAACUAUAACAAAAUUGUUACUGUGUGCAGAAAUGAGGAUGGUGGUUGCAUGAAGAUUUUUCUGGAUCUUUCUUUGGUUUGUGGAUCUCUUUUGAUAAAGUUUGUUUUGGCUCUUGCUAACUAUGGACACCUAUAUAGUGGACGAAUGGAAUCUCUUGCCUCCUUCAAUGCACGCUUUUGGCUAAGCAACUGUAUCAGAAUUGGCUGCCGUUGCAUAAUGACACUUUACCUUGGCAAUUUGAAGCAAACUAGUAUAAUCUUGGCAGAGUAUCCUGAAUUAAAGGGUUAGACAUUAAUUUUCUUGUUCACGUGGAAUCAUUAAAUAAAAAUUGUCUUGGCAGAAAGUACCCUAUGUGAGAGGCUUAACAAAAAUGUCUUGGCUGAAGUACUCCAAAUGAGAGGAUUCAAUGCUACUUUUCUUGAC